RNAcentral lists this long non-coding RNA (494 nucleotides) under Setaria italica (foxtail millet). Its description in RNAcentral is "long non-coding RNA (SITA_LNC001845)". Lineage: Eukaryota; Viridiplantae; Streptophyta; Magnoliopsida; Poales; Poaceae. The record is from RNAcentral.
UGUGGACUUAGAGUUGUUGGAAGCGAGGAACAGUAAGCAUUUGGCCAUCUCGGCUAGUGAAACAACGCGGGAUGAAAUGUUCGAUAGUGUUCUGCUCUGUGAUUGGCAGCUUCAUUGUGAUGCUGCCCACCUUAGAGAAAUGAAGGCAAAAGAAGAAAGCAACAGUCAACAGAAUGUUCAAAGCAAAAGAUAUGGCCAUGGGAAAGUGAAAUCACGAAGUAAGAAGAAAGAGGAGGGGAUUGACCUCAGGGCUCUUCUCAUCCAGUGUGCACAAGCAAUAGCAGUUAACAGCCUUCCGUUUGCUGGUGAGCUACUGAAGAAGAUAAGGCAUCACGCUUCACCAUAUGGAGAUGGUUCUCAGAGGCUGGCGAUUUACCUUGCAGAUGGUCUUGAGGCACGGUUGGCCGGGACAGGGAGUAAAAUGUAUCAGAAACUGAUGGAGAAACGAACAAGGGCCACAGACAUGUUAAAAGCCUACCGCCUUUUCAUUGCAG